AUUGUGGCUCAGUGGUUGAGUGCUCUCCUCAUACGUGUGAGGCCCUGGGUUCGAUCCUCAGCACCACAUA
Molecule: transfer RNA, 70 nt
Filed under: Marmota monax (woodchuck)
Lineage: Eukaryota; Metazoa; Chordata; Mammalia; Rodentia; Sciuridae
Description: tRNA.Met
Rfam family: tRNA (bases 3-63)
About the family: Transfer RNA (tRNA) molecules are approximately 80 nucleotides in length. Their secondary structure includes four short double-helical elements and three loops (D, anti-codon, and T loops).
Source: RNAcentral